Long non-coding RNA from Bos taurus (domestic cattle), 802 nucleotides. NCBI's taxonomy places the organism in Eukaryota, Metazoa, Chordata, Mammalia, Artiodactyla, Bovidae. The record is from Ensembl.
GGGCAAACACUUUCAUGGGAGUAUGGUGUAGGUGAAGCGGGGACUAGUCGAGCAGGGGAUGUACAAAGAGCAAGAGAAGAGCCAACUUCUAUGCCCUGAUCGAACAGAAGGCACUAAGUCUUGUCCAACUCUCUACGACCCCAUGGACUGUAGCCCACCAGACUUAUCUAUCCAUGGGAUUUCCCAGGCAAGAAUACUGAAAUGUGGAAUCCAUGGAUAUGAAGGGCUGACUGUACUGCUGAAGAAUCAUGGCAUCUGGCCCCAAGACUACAUGGCAAAGAGAUGAGGAAACAAUGGAAACAGUGAGAGGCUUUAUUUUUGGGCUCCAAAAUCACUGUGGAUGGUGACUCCAGCCAUAAAAUUAAAAGACACUUACUCCUCUGAAGGAAAGUUAUGACCACCUAACAGAAUAUUAAAAACCAGAGACAUUACUUUGCCAACAAAGGUCCAUCUAGUAAAGGCUAUGGCUUUUUCCAGUAGUCAUGUAUGGAUGUGAGAGUUGGACCAUAAAGAAGGCUGAACGCCGAAGAAUUGAUGCUUUUGAUUUUUGUCUUAGAGAAGACCCUUGAGAGUCCUUUGGACUGCAAUAAGAUCAAACCAGUCAGUUCAGUUCAGUUUCUCAGUCGUGUCCUACUCUUUGCGACCCUAUGAACUGCAGUACGCCAGGCCUCCCUGUCCAUCACCAACUCCUGGAACCCACCCAAACCUAUGUCCAUUGUGUCGGUGAUGCCAUCACCCAUCUCAUCCUCUGUCAUCCCCUUCUCCUCCUGCCUUCAAUCUUUCCAAGCAUCAGGGUCUUUUC